UUGAACAAAUAACAUAAGGAGUCCUGCCUGCCCAGUGACUAGAGGUUAAACGGCCGCGGUAUCUUGACCGUGCGAAGGUAGCAUAAUCAUUUGUCUCCUAAAUAGAGACUAGUAUGAAUGGCAAGACGGAACAAAACUGUCUCUUUCUCAUGACCCCGAAUUUCACUUCCCCGUGAAGAGGCGAGGAUAAAAUCGCUAGACGAGAAGACCCUGUCGAGCUUUAGCAAAACCCAAGGCUAUAUGUUUCUUAUUCUACUCUAAUUUCCGAUAAACAUAAGCGGCAAUAAGAUCUUAUAUUACUUGGGAGAGCUUUGGUUGGGGCAACCGCGGAGUAAGACGAUCCUCCGCUAAUAAAAUACUAUAGUAAGAGCUACAACUCUAAAAUCUUAAUAAAACAAAUGAUCCACUAAGGUGAUCAAAGGAACAAGUUACCGCAGGGAUAACAGCGUUAUCUUUUCUGAGAGUUCACAUUGACGAAAAGGUUUGCGACCUCGAUGUUGGAUCGGGACAUCCUAAGGGUGCAGAAGCUCUUAAGGGUUGGUCUGUUCGACCAUUAAAGUCCUACGUGAUCUGAGUUCAGACCGG
Molecule: ribosomal RNA, 585 nt
Filed under: Salmacis rubricincta
Lineage: Eukaryota; Metazoa; Echinodermata; Echinoidea; Temnopleuroida; Temnopleuridae
Description: partial large subunit ribosomal RNA
Rfam family: Bacterial large subunit ribosomal RNA
Source: RNAcentral